This 2791-nucleotide long non-coding RNA is filed under the name Phaseolus vulgaris (common bean). RNAcentral's name for it is "long non-coding RNA (PVUL_LNC000890)". Lineage: Eukaryota; Viridiplantae; Streptophyta; Magnoliopsida; Fabales; Fabaceae. The record is from RNAcentral.
UUAGCCUUGUUGGGUUGAUGUCGUUCAACACACUGCUGCUUCUGCUCCUGCUGCUUAGUUAGGCAUUUUAGCUUUGCAGAUAAAGCGCAGAAAGUUGUACAGCUGUAAAAGGGUAAUUUUUUCUGAUCUUAUUCCUCCUCUCUUCAUCUAAUUUGAUUACCUUUUUCCACUCACUAUGCUGUAGUUACCAUAAAUAAUUUAUUCAUUAUAUUUAUCAAUGAGUACUAACCCUCUUCCCUCCACAUUGCUACUUACUAGUACUCUUUUUUUUUAUUUCUAUUGUCUGCUGAUAUGCUUUUCUAUCUUCUCCUAUUCAUCAGCCGCCUUCUUGUCUGGAUUAGCACUGCACACAAGCAUGAUAUUGGAAAAAUGAAAAAUUGGGGGGUUUGUCCCCAUUUACUCAUUCCUUAAAGAGUAAGUAGCCUCAUUCUGAUGCUUAUCUCAAUGUUUUGCCUUUGAUCCAUCAUUCUUGUCUUUUAAUUUAACAGAUACAGCCUUUAGACUUUUAUGGAUUUAGAUUCCUCAUGGGAUGCUUAAUUAGUCUUUGUAACAGUCUUGUUACUGUCGACAGUUGAAAAUAAAACUCAUUCGUUACUAAUUAUAUACAUUUUUUGGAUUUGUCACAGAUAUUGUAAUAAUUACAUUACAGAUAACACUUUUGGACAGUGAAUCAAAGAGCUUUACUUUGACGAUCCAGGUGAUAAAUUAUUACCUUCUAGCUUCUUCUCUUUCUGAUUUUGUGUGCGUGAAACUUCAUAUUAUUAUAUGACAGAUAUAAAACUCAUGUUAGGAUAAGAAAACAAAGUGAAACAUUUCCUCUCAUAAAAAUCGUCAUUUUGAUUCAUCCGAGAUGUGUAGAACGUGGAUUUAUUGAUUUGAUUGAUCUAUGUAAUUGAAGGUGACAAAACUUGCUACUUUUUGAAAUUAUCGCGUGUGAAUUAAUAUAUACUGGGUAAAGAGAGUUGUGCUGUGUGUAGCACUGAUGGGGCACAAGUAUGCACAAGGAUGCACUUUGCUUUAGGUUUACAAAAUGCAAGACAUUUUCCUUUUACUAUAUAUAUAUUUUCUCCAUGUUUAUUUGGAGUAAUAGACUCAUAGGAACCACUUGUAUAUACAUGUUUGAAAAUAUUAGAGUGGCAUUGAAUGCAAAAUACGCUGUUCAAGGCAUAAAAAGGAGAUAUCAAACGGAAUGUGGUGUUCUCACGGUGUGAGAUGGGAAAGCAAAAGCAACACAUAGGACAGUAAGAUCAACAGUAAGCGAGACUAGACAUAUAUAGGAGCAGGACCUUUCUUUAGGCUACACAGACUUGAAUGUGAUGCUUUUCUAUUAAAAUAUGUAGGAGUAUCUCAGAUCCUUUGGGGUAAAGUCAAUUUCCAUGAACUAUCAAAAGUCUUGGAAGAAUCCUUUUGUCACUGCUGGAAUUUAAAGAAUGAAAGAGACUAGAAAUGAAACUUUUUUUGGGGAUGAUCUAGUUCAUUUCAAAUGCUUAGAAAACCAACAAGAAAUCAGACAAAAUUACUUAGGAUGAAACUAGGCAAAUAAAACAUCAAAAUCUUUAUUCUUUUCUUUGAUCUUUAUUGUAUAUAUUCUCCUAUCAUUCUUGCUUAUAAGGCAGUCAUGAUCAUGCAUAUAUCAAGUUAGAUAAGGAAAUAAAAUGAUAUUAAGAAAGAAAGACACAAACAUACAAACAUAUUAAUCUAUUAGUCAUGAGGUAACAAUAUGAAGGUGAUUUUUGUAAUCCUAUUUCAUUUUCCAAGGAAGAUUUGAGAUUCAACAGCUUUAUGCUUCAUACAUAUACAUGCAUGAAAUAAACACCUUCUAUAUAACUAUUAAGAGCAUCCUAGAGUCAUAGGUUGAUUAAAGUUAUCCAUAAAUUCAAGGAGUUAAUUAUUCCUGGCUAGUAUUAGGCUUCUUGUUUAAUUAUAAAACCAAUACUUUAUAUUGAUCAUAUAAUGAUGAUAGUAUGAAUAUUGUUUCUCACCAACGUGAAGGUUAUCAUUGUUUUGGGAAUUGCAUCAUGCAUCCCAAGAUACAGUGUGUUAUAAAGCAAUGUUUCUCAGUUAUACAGUGGUAUUAAUGUUAAUGCAAUUAGUGCUAUAUCCACUUUUAGUUCACAAGUUAAUGUAUGCUACUCAUGGGUUUUAUGCAGAAGGAAAAAUAGAAGCUCCACCAAAUCACUGAAACCAUAUCUUAUGAUUUAAGGACUUCACACCUACCAUUUCAGUGAGGUUUUAGAAACAUUUAACCAGGUACAGUUUUCUUAGUACUCCAAUUUAUAUAUAUUAGUUAGGUCACAAACAAUAUCCAAACACUAAUAUUUAAGUAAUGUUUGCAAACAUGAUAUAGUGUUCAAGUUAUCUGCAAAACGGAUAUGUCUUGAUACCACUCUCAAGAAGUUAUCAGCUAGAUGCAUAUAUAAUCAUCAUAGAAAAUUGGAUGAAGAUAAUAAUAUUUUUUCUGUGCCUGGUUGAUUUAGUGGUUCAGCAUCUUUUUAUACUUGCAAGUGCACUGAGUCAGUUAAUUAACCUCACUGUUGUUAGAAAUAGAAAUAUAGAUGUUAACUGAACCUGUGAUGGGGGUAUUUAUUUCAAUGAAAUAAAAAAAAAAUGUAUAAAUAUAUACAUGUUGAAGAUAAUAAUUAAAGUAUUGAAGUCAUGGAAUACAGUUGAAAACUGUAGGCAAAAUCACCUUUAAAUUAAUACCAAAUCAGUGAGUCUCUGUAUUUAAAUUUUACUGAGCAUAUGUAGUUGGCUGUUAUAAGGCUGGCUGCAUUCACUCUCAUAUAAAUAU